RNAcentral lists this long non-coding RNA (597 nucleotides) under Gallus gallus (chicken). RNAcentral's name for it is "lncRNA (ENSGALG00010006174.1)". The record is from RNAcentral. Lineage: Eukaryota; Metazoa; Chordata; Aves; Galliformes; Phasianidae.
AUUUUUCCCUGAGGCAUGGGGAUGGUGUAAAGGAAGCAGAAAUAUUCAUUUUCUGAAGUCAGCAUCCAUAAACAUUUAACCUAUUGCAAUCAGCAUGGUUAUUUUAAUUGCAUAGUCAAUUUUCCAGACAUUUAUUUUGUUUCUACUACCCAUUCCUUUAUGUUUUUAACAGGUUUUAACUACAUCAUGAGGCUUUCCAUUCACUACAGUUUGGAAUGGCAUUUUCACCUUGGCAUUUUAAGGCUCCAGACCAUCUUGGUGGCCUUCUGCUGGAUCAUCUUCAGGUUCUCCACAUUCCUUUCCAUCAGGGAAACCAAAACUAGAAGAGCUGCUGUUCAACCAAGUGCUUCCCAAAUUCCCCAGCUAGUAUGUGACAUUUCUUUCUUCCAGGAAAUGUAUUUAUGUAGACAUCCAACCAGAAUGAAGACCUGUAAGAAGUUCCAUGGAAGAACUGCAGAACUGAAAAGGAGUAUAACCUACAAAUUCUUAUUGACUAGAAGUCUGUGAGAUAAUCAGAAGAUAUGGCUCUGCAUCAUAUGUAUGUACAGAAAAGGUUGAAGGAGGUGAUCCUCCUCUUCUUCUCUGCACUGCUGAGAU